RNAcentral lists this ribosomal RNA (388 nucleotides) under Sistotrema sp. Its description in RNAcentral is "partial small subunit ribosomal RNA". It matches the Rfam family "Eukaryotic small subunit ribosomal RNA", at positions 582 to 975 of the family's 1831-position model. Lineage: Eukaryota; Fungi; Basidiomycota; Agaricomycetes; Cantharellales; Hydnaceae. The record is from RNAcentral.
AUUCCAGCUCCAAUAGCGUAUAUUAAAGUUGUUGCAGUUAAAAAGCUCGUAGUUGAACUUCAGCCUUGGUCGGGCGGUCUGCCUCACGGUAUGUACUGUCUGACUGGGGCUUACCUCUUAGUGAGCCCGUAUGCCCUUUACUGGGUGUGCGGGGGAACCAGGACUUUUACUUUGAGAAAAUUAGAGUGUUCAAAGCAGGCAUUUGCCCGAAUACAUUAGCAUGGAAUAAUAGAAUAGGACGUGCGGUUCUAUUUUGUUGGUUUCUAGAGUCGCCGUAAUGAUUAAUAGGGAUAGUUGGGGGCAUUAGUAUUGAGUUGCUAGAGGUGAAAUUCUUGGAUUUACUCAAGACUAACUACUGCGAAAGCAUUUGCCAAGGAUGUUUUCAUCG